Molecule: ribosomal RNA, 253 nt
Filed under: uncultured bacterium
Lineage: Bacteria
Description: partial 16S ribosomal RNA
Rfam family: Bacterial small subunit ribosomal RNA
Source: RNAcentral
UACGAAGGGGGCUAGCGUUGCUCGGAAUGGCUGGACGUAAAGGGCGCGUAGGCGGAUUGUACAGUCAGGCGUGAAAUUCCCGGGCUCAACCUGGGGGCUGCGCUUGAGACGUGCGAUCUUGAGUGGGGAAGAGGGUCGUGGAAUUCCCAGUGUAGAGGUGAAAUUCGUAGAUAUUGGGAAGAACACCGGUGGCGAAGGCGGCGACCUGGUCCUUGACUGACGCUGAGGCGCGAAAGCGUGGGGAGCAAACAGG